This 119-nucleotide ribosomal RNA is filed under the name uncultured Streptomyces sp. RNAcentral's name for it is "partial 16S ribosomal RNA". It matches the Rfam family "Bacterial small subunit ribosomal RNA", at positions 338 to 456 of the family's 1533-position model. The record is from RNAcentral. Lineage: Bacteria; Bacillati; Actinomycetota; Actinomycetes; Kitasatosporales; Streptomycetaceae.
CCUACGGGAGGCAGCAGUGGGGAAUAUUGCACAAUGGGCGAAAGCCUGAUGCAGCGACGCCGCGUGAGGGAUGACGGCCUUCGGGUUGUAAAGUACUUUCAGCGGGGAGGGAAGGGAGU